This 397-nucleotide ribosomal RNA is filed under the name uncultured bacterium. RNAcentral's name for it is "bacterial SSU rRNA". It matches the Rfam family "Bacterial small subunit ribosomal RNA", at positions 355 to 768 of the family's 1533-position model. The record is from RNAcentral.
UGGGGAAUAUUGGACAAUGGGCGCAAGCCUGAUCCAGCCAUGCCGCGUGAGUGACGAAGGUCUUCGGAUUGUAAAGCUCUUUUGGCGGGGACGAUAAUGACGGUACCCGCAGAAUAAGCCCCGGCUAACUUCGUGCCAGCAGCCGCGGUAAUACGAAGGGGGCUAGCGUUGUUCGGAAUUACUGGGCGUAAAGCGCACGUAGGCGGACUGAUAAGUCAGGGGUGAAAUCCCGGGGCUCAACCUCGGAACUGCCUUUGACACUGUUAGUCUCGAGUCUGGAAGAGGUGAGUGGAAUUCCUAGUGUAGAGGUGAAAUUCGUAGAUAUUAGGAAGAACACCAGUGGCGAAAGGCGGCUCACUGGUCCGGUACUGACGCUGAGGUGCGAAAGCGUGGGGAG